CAAGUCGAGCGAUGAAGUUUCUUCGGAAAUGGAUUAGCGGCGAACGGGUGAGGAACACGUGAAGAAUCUGCCCUCCACUUUGGGAUAACACCGGGAAACCGGUGCUAAUACUGAAUAUUGAAACAUAAGUGGCAUCACUGAGUUUUGAAAGAAUUUCGGUGGAGGAUGACUUCGCGGCCUAUCAGCUAGUUGGUGAGGUAAUGGCUCACCAAGGCAACGACGGGUAGCCGGCCUGAGAGGGCGACCGGCCACACUGGGACUGAGACACGGCCCAGACUCCUACGGGAGGCAGCAGUGGGGAAUAUUGGGCAAUGGAGGAAACUCUGACCCAGCGACGCCGCGUGCGGGAUGAAGGCCUUCGGGUUGUAAACCGCUUUCAGUAGGGAAGAAGCGAAAGUGACGGUACCUACAAAAGAAGCACCGGCUAACUAUGUGCCAGCAGCCGCGGUAAUACAUAGGGUGCAAGCGUUGUCCGGAAUUAUUGGGCGUAAAGAGCUCGUAGGUCGUUUGUUACGUCGGAUGUGAAAACCUGAGGCUCAACCUCAGGCCUGCAUUCGAUACGGGCAAACUAGAGUUUGGUAGGGGAGACUGGAAUUCCUGGUGUAGCGGUGGAAUGCGCAGAUAUCAGGAGGAACACCAAUGGCGAAGGCAGGUCUCUGGGCCAAUACUGACACUGAGGAGCGAAAGUCUGGGGAGCGAACAGGAUUAGAUACCCUGGUAGUCCAGACCGUAAACGGUGGGCACUAGUUGUGGGAACCUUCCACGGUUUCUGCGACGCAGCUAACGCAUUAAGUGCCCCGCCUGGGGAGUACGAUUGCAAGAUUAAAACUCAAAGGAAUUGACGG
This 845-nucleotide ribosomal RNA is filed under the name uncultured bacterium. RNAcentral describes it as "bacterial SSU rRNA". It matches the Rfam family "Bacterial small subunit ribosomal RNA", at positions 58 to 916 of the family's 1533-position model. The record is from RNAcentral.